RNAcentral lists this ribosomal RNA (163 nucleotides) under uncultured bacterium. RNAcentral's name for it is "partial 16S rRNA". It matches the Rfam family "Bacterial small subunit ribosomal RNA", at positions 355 to 511 of the family's 1533-position model. The record is from RNAcentral.
UAGGGAAUCUUCCACAAUGGGCGCAAGCCUGAUGGAGCAACGCCGCGUGAGUGAAGAAGGUCUUCGGAUCGUAAACUCUGUUGUUAGAGAAGAACACGAGUGAGAGUAACUGUUCAUUCGAUGACGGUAUCUAACCAGCAAGUCACGGCUAACUACGUGCCAG